RNAcentral lists this long non-coding RNA (898 nucleotides) under Homo sapiens (human). Its description in RNAcentral is "novel transcript, antisense to GNPNAT1". The record is from RNAcentral. Lineage: Eukaryota; Metazoa; Chordata; Mammalia; Primates; Hominidae.
UUUGGAGUUGGAAGUGAGAGAAUCGUGUUUAAAGGAAAGGGUAGGUCAUCCACAGAACAGCUUUCAGUCAUUACAAAAAAAAAAUACUUCUUGCUUUUAUAUUACCAUCUUCCCCCAUUAGGCCUACCUGCAUACUGUGCUUCAUCAAAUCUAAGAUCACCUCACAACUAUACCAUUAUUUUAGGCACCACUAAAAGACAGUGUAUUGCUAACAAAACUAUGAUAAACCAUUGAUAAUAUAUCCAGAUUUCAGAGAUGUUACAGUGCAUCUUAGUUGAUGAAACAAAAAUAUACAAAACAUGAGACACAGUAAAAAUGAUAAGUACCACCUCAUUAUACCUUUUCACAAGCAAAUAGUGGCCAAAGAUGUGAACGGCCAGACACGGUAGCCGACAUAUGUAAUCCCAGAUACUCUGGAGGCUGAGGCAGAGGAUCACUUGAGCUCAGGAGUUUGAGACCGGCUUGGGCAAUAUAGUAAGACCCCACAGAAAAAUGUAAAGCCAGGUGUGAUGGCACACACCUGUAGUUCCAGCUACUGGGGAGGCUGAGGCAGGAGGGAUGGCUUGAACCCAGGAACUGGAGGAUGCAGUGAGCUAUGAUCACACCACUGGACUCCAGCCUGGGUGAUGGAGUGGGACAGUGUCUCUUUAAAAAAUGUGGGCCAGGUGCAGUGGCUCGCACCUGUCAUCCAAGCACUUUGGGAGGCUGAGGUUUGCUAAUUCACUGUUUACAGAGGACCUUAGAUGUCCCACUAUAAUUGCUCUUAGGUAUUUUUAACAAAUGAAUAGUCAUAAUUCACAGAAAAGACAAGUGGUACUUUUUAUCUACAUAGACUAUACUAUAUAAACUUUCAGUAAAACAUUUAAAUUGUUUUACUUUUAAUCUUGUCAAGUAAUUU